CGUGUAGGCGGCCAAGCAGGUCUGUUGUGAAAACUGGAGGCUCAACCUCCAGACGUCGACAGAAACCGCUUGGCUAGAGUCCGGAAGAGGAGAGUGGAAUUCCUGGUGUAGCGGUGAAAUGCGCAGAUAUCAGGAAGAACACCAAUGGCGAAGGCAGCUCUCUGGGACGGUACUGACGCUGAGACGCGAAAGCGUGGGGAGCGAACA
This 207-nucleotide ribosomal RNA is filed under the name uncultured bacterium. Its description in RNAcentral is "partial 16S ribosomal RNA". It matches the Rfam family "Bacterial small subunit ribosomal RNA", at positions 568 to 774 of the family's 1533-position model. The record is from RNAcentral.